This 468-nucleotide ribosomal RNA is filed under the name uncultured bacterium. RNAcentral describes it as "partial 16S ribosomal RNA". It matches the Rfam family "Bacterial small subunit ribosomal RNA", at positions 28 to 507 of the family's 1533-position model. The record is from RNAcentral.
GACGAACGCUGGCGGCGUGCUUAACACAUGCAAGUCGAACGGAAAGGCCCUGCUUUUGUGGGGUGCUCGAGUGGCGAACGGGUGAGUAACACGUGAGUAACCUGCCCUUGACUUUCGGAUAACUUCAGGAAACUGCGUCUAAUACCGUAUAGGAGCUCCUGCUGCAUGGUGUGGGUUGGUAAGUUUCGGCGGUUGGGGAUGGACUCGCGGCUUAUCAGCUUGUUGGUUGGGUAGUGGCUUACCAAGGCUUUGACGGAUAGCCGACAUGAGAGGGUUAACGGACACAUUGGGACUGAGAUACGGCACAGAGUAGAACGGGAGGCAGCAGUGGGGAAUAUUGCACAAUGGGAGGAAGGCAGAUGCAGCAACGCCGCGUGCGGGAUGACGGCAUGCGGGUAGUAAACCGCAGUCGCAUGUGACGAAGCGUGAGUGACGGUAAUGGGUAAAGAAGCACCGGCUAACUACGUG